This 899-nucleotide ribosomal RNA is filed under the name Gnomoniopsis idaeicola. Its description in RNAcentral is "LSU rRNA". It matches the Rfam family "Eukaryotic large subunit ribosomal RNA", at positions 35 to 965 of the family's 3401-position model. Lineage: Eukaryota; Fungi; Ascomycota; Sordariomycetes; Diaporthales; Gnomoniaceae. The record is from RNAcentral.
UAAGCAUAUCAAUAAGCGGAGGAAAAGAAACCAACAGGGAUUKCCCUAGUAACGGCGAGUGAAGCGGCAACAGCUCAAAUUUGAAAUCUGGCUUCGGCCCGAGUUGUAAUUUGCAGAGGAUGUUUAUGGUGCGGUACCUUCCGAGUUCCCUGGAACGGGACGCCACAGAGGGUGAGAGCCCCGUCUGGUUGGAUACCAAACCUGUGUUAAACUCCUUCAACGAGUCGAGUAGUUUGGGAAUGCUGCUCUAAAUGGGAGGUAAAUCUCUUCUAAAGCUAAAUACCGGCCAGAGACCGAUAGCGCACAAGUAGAGUGAUCGAAAGAUGAAAAGCACCUUGAAAAGGGGGUUAAACAGUACGUGAAAUUGUUAAAAGGGAAGCGUUUAUGACCAGACUUGUGUCGUGUGGCUCAUCCGAGGUUCUCCCCGGUGCACUCCACACGGCUCAGGCCAACAUCGGUUCUCGUUGGGGGAUAAGAACAGUAGGAACGUGGCCCUUUUCGAAGGGUGUUAUAGCCUGCUGUACGAUACCCUGAUGGGGACCGAGGACCGCGCUUCGGCUAGGAUGUUGGCGUAAUGGUCAUUAGCGACCCGUCUUGAAACACGGACCAAGGAGUCGUCCAUUAGAGCGAGCGUUUGGGUGUAAAACCCGCACGCGUAAUGAAAGUGAAAUUAGGUGAGAGCUUCGGCGCAUCAUCGACCGAUCCUGAAGUUUACGGAUGGAUUUGAGUAAGAGUUUUAACGGACGGACCCGAAAGACAGUGAACUAUGCUUGAAUAGGGUGAAGCCAGAGGAAACUCUGGUGGAGGCUCGCAGCGGUUCUGACGUGCAAAUCGAUCGUCAAAUUUGAGCAUGGGGGCGAAAGACUAAUCGAACUGUCUAGUAGCUGGUUACCGCCGAA